Molecule: ribosomal RNA, 164 nt
Filed under: uncultured bacterium
Lineage: Bacteria
Description: partial 16S rRNA
Rfam family: Bacterial small subunit ribosomal RNA
Source: RNAcentral
UAGGGAAUCUUCCACAAUGGGCGAAAGCCUGAUGGAGCAACGCCGCGUGUGUGAUGAAGGGUUUCGGCUCGUAAAACACUGUUGUAAGAGAAGAAUGACAUUGAGAGUAACUGUUCAAUGUGUGACGGUAUCUUACCAGAAAGGAACGGCCAAAUACGUGCCAG